This 1743-nucleotide ribosomal RNA is filed under the name uncultured Sebacina mycobiont of Dipsacus sylvestris. RNAcentral describes it as "eukaryotic LSU rRNA". The stretch from base 602 to 1743 matches the Rfam family "Eukaryotic large subunit ribosomal RNA", at positions 1 to 1130 of the family's 3401-position model. The record is from RNAcentral. Lineage: Eukaryota; Fungi; Basidiomycota; Agaricomycetes; Sebacinales; Sebacinaceae.
UUCCGUAGGUGAACCUGCGGAAGGAUCAUUAAUGAAUUACAAGUCGAUUGUCUGUGCUGGCAGCAAUGCAUGUGCACGACAGUUGCAAAUCCACACACCUGUGCACUUUAGACUUUGAGGUUCGCACUGGUAACACGGUGCAGUCGGCYRACCUUUGGUUGGCCUGAGCCUUGAGGUAUUUACACACACUCUGAAUGUAAUGGAAUGUACUUGUGCUUAAUCGCGCAUUUAAUACAACUUUCAACAACGGAUCUCUUGGCUCUCGCAUCGAUGAAGAACGCAGCGAAAUGCGAUAAGUAAUGUGAAUUGCAGAAUUCAGUGAAUCAUCGAAUCUUUGAACGCACCUUGCACCCUUUGGUAUUCCGAAGGGUACGCCCGUUUGAGUGUCAUUGUAAUCUCACACCCCAAGACUUUUGUCAAAAGGGAUUGUGGACUUGGAUGUUGUUGUGUAACUACAACUCGUCUCAAAUGCAUGAGUGUACCCUGCAUCUGCAGCGUAUUCGGUGUGAUAAGCAUCUUCACCGGAGUCAAGCCCUCUUGGGCGCGCUUGUGAAUGUAGGCCCUGYGCUGCAAACSGUCCUUGGACAAACAACUGACAAUUUGACCUCAAAUCGGGCGGGACUACCCGCUGAACUUAAGCAUAUCAAUAAGCGGAGGAAAAGAAACUAACAAGGAUUCCCCUAGUAACGGCGAGUGAAGAGGGAAAAGCUCAAAUUUUAAAUCUGGUGUCUUCGGCGCCCGAGUUGUAAUCUAGAGAAGUGUUUUCYGUGUUGGACCGUGCAAAAGUUCCCUGGAACGGGGCGUCAUAGAGGGUGAGAAUCCCGUAUAUGGCAUGGACUCCCAAUGCUCUGUGAUACACUCUCGACGAGUCGAGUUGUUUGGGAAUGCAGCUCAAAAUGGGUGGUAAAUUCCAUCUAAAGCUAAAUAUUGGCGAGAGACCGAUAGCGAACAAGUACCGUGAGGGAAAGAUGAAAAGCACUUUGGAAAGAGAGUGAAACAGUACGUGAAAUUGUUGAAAGGGAAGCGUUUGAAGUCAGUCACGCUUGUCGGAACUCAGCCUGGCUUCUGCCUGGUGUACUUUCUGGUGAGCGGGUCAGCGUCAGUUUUGGUCGAGGGAGAAAGGCAUUGGGAAUGUGGCAGUCUUYGGGCUGUGUUAUAGCCCUUUGUUGUAUGCCUCGACUGGGAUUGAGGACUGCAGCGCGCCUUUAUGGCCGGGGUUCGCGCCCUCGGUACGCGCUUAGGAUGCUGGCAUAAUGGCUUUAAGCGACCCGUCUUGAAACACGGACCAAGGAGUCUAACAUGUGCGCGAGUGUUUGGGUGUCAAACCCGAGCGCGUAAUGAAAGUGAAAGGUCGGGAACCCGUAUGGGUGCACCGACGCCCGGAGCAGACCUUCUGUGACGCAUCCGCGGUAGAGCGUAUAUGUUGGGACCCGAAAGAUGGUGAACUAUGCCUGAAUAGGGUGAAGCCAGAGGAAACUCUGGUGGAGGCUCGUAGCGAUUCUGACGUGCAAAUCGAUCGUCAAAUUUGGGUAUAGGGGCGAAAGACUAAUCGAACCAUCUAGUAGCUGGUUCCUGCCGAAGUUUCCCUCAGGAUAGCAGAAACUCAUUAUCAGCCUUGUGCGGUAAAGCGAAUGAUUAGAGGCCUUGGGGUUGAAACAACCUUAACCUAUUCUCAAACUCUAAAUGUGCAAGAUAGGGUUGUCACUUGAUUGGACUUCUCUGUGGGUGAGAGUUUCUAGUGGG